CCACGCCGUCUCCUCGAACACGGCGCGGUCGACGCGCGCCACGCUUCCCAUGCUGACGUACAGAACGGAGCGCGGCGGGCGCGCGUCCAGCCACGCCAAGCAGGUGGGGUCCGGCGCGUCCUGGUACCCCGCGGCCGCCGCCGCCGCGGGGUCCGGCGACGCCAGGUGCAGCGGCCCCACGGCGAAGACCGGGCGGCCGGACAGCUCGCGCCGGAUCUUGGCCAGCGCCGCGCCCUCGAUGCCCUCGAACGUGUUCAGCACCACGCCCGACGACGAGGCCCGCACGGCC
This 289-nucleotide long non-coding RNA is filed under the name Zea mays. RNAcentral's name for it is "long non-coding RNA (ZMAY_LNC004187)". Lineage: Eukaryota; Viridiplantae; Streptophyta; Magnoliopsida; Poales; Poaceae. The record is from RNAcentral.